GUGCAAAAACCUGAAUUUCAAGUUUUUGAUUCUAAAGGCUUGGGAGGAGAAAAUAAAUUAGAAAAAAAUUAUUUUCUUCUCCAUCUUUUCUCCACCUUUUUAUCUCUUCUAUAAGUCUAUCUUCAACUUCUAGAAAGAUUCCAAAGAUUUGAAGAAAGGAUCUAGAUCAGUCAAGAAGAAGUUCUUUGUGCGAGCUAGCACUCUCGAGAAGACCGAUCAACUCAAGGCUUUGAGUGGAUUUCUCAUA
Molecule: long non-coding RNA, 247 nt
Filed under: Elaeis guineensis (African oil palm)
Lineage: Eukaryota; Viridiplantae; Streptophyta; Magnoliopsida; Arecales; Arecaceae
Description: long non-coding RNA (EGUI_LNC067909)
Source: RNAcentral